RNAcentral lists this ribosomal RNA (396 nucleotides) under uncultured bacterium. RNAcentral describes it as "partial 16S ribosomal RNA". It matches the Rfam family "Bacterial small subunit ribosomal RNA", at positions 523 to 918 of the family's 1533-position model. The record is from RNAcentral.
AUACGUAGGUGGCAAGCGUUAUCCGGAUUUACUGGGUGUAAAGGGCGCGUAGGCGGGGGUGCAAGUCAGAUGUGAAAUCUAUGGGCUUAACUCAUAAACUGCAUUUGAAACUGUAUCUCUUGAGUGCUGGAGAGGUAGACGGAAUUCCUUGUGUAGCGGUGAAAUGCGUAGAUAUAAGGAAGAACACCAGUGGCGAAGGCGGUCUACUGGACAGUAACUGACGCUGAGGCGCGAAAGCGUGGGGAGCAAACAGGAUUAGAUACCCUGGUAGUCCACGCUGUAAACGAUGAAUACUAGGUGUGGGGGGACUGACCCCCUCCGUGCCGCAGUUAACACAAUAAGUAUUCCGCCUGGGGAGUACGGCCGCAAGGUUGAAACUCAAAUGAAUUGGCGGGG